This 465-nucleotide ribosomal RNA is filed under the name uncultured bacterium. RNAcentral's name for it is "bacterial SSU rRNA". It matches the Rfam family "Bacterial small subunit ribosomal RNA", at positions 917 to 1382 of the family's 1533-position model. The record is from RNAcentral.
GGGCCCGCACAAGCGGUGGAGCAUGUGGUUCAAUUCGACGCGACGCGAAGAACCUUACCCAGGCUUGACAUGCACUGGACGGGUGUGGAAACACACCUUUCCUUCGGGACCGGUGCACAGGUGCUGCAUGGCUGUCGUCAGCUCGUGUCGUGAGAUGUUGGGUUAAGUCCCGCAACGAGCGCAACCCUUGUCCUUAGUUGCUAACGGAUAAUGCUGAGCACUCUAAGGAGACUGCCGGUGAUAAACCGGAGGAAGGUGGGGAUGACGUCAAGUCCUCAUGGCCCUUAUGCCUGGGGCUACACACGUGCUACAAUGGUCGGUACAAAGGGUUCCGAGACCGCGAGGUGGAGGCAAUCCCAAAAAACCGGCCUCAGUUCGGAUUGCAGUCUGCAACUCGACUGCAUGAAGUCGGAAUCGCUAGUAAUCGCUGAUCAGCAGGCAGCGGUGAAUACGUUCCCGGGCCUU